UACGUAGGUGGCAAGCGUUGUCCGGAAUCAUUGGGCGUAAAGCGCGCGCAGGCGGUCCCUUAAGUCUGAUGUGAAAGCCCACGGCUCAACCGUGGAGGGUCAUUGGAAACUGGGGGACUUGAGUGCAGAAGAGGAAAGUGGAAUUCCAUGUGUAGCGGUGAAAUGCGUAGAGAUGUGGAGGAACACCAGUGGCGAAGGCGACUUUCUGGUCUGUAACUGACGCUGAGGCGCGAAAGCGUGGGGAGCAAACAGG
This 253-nucleotide ribosomal RNA is filed under the name uncultured bacterium. RNAcentral describes it as "partial 16S ribosomal RNA". It matches the Rfam family "Bacterial small subunit ribosomal RNA", at positions 524 to 776 of the family's 1533-position model. The record is from RNAcentral.